This 72-nucleotide transfer RNA is filed under the name Verrucomicrobiota bacterium. RNAcentral describes it as "Verrucomicrobia bacterium tRNA-Lys". It matches the Rfam family "tRNA". Rfam says of the family: Transfer RNA (tRNA) molecules are approximately 80 nucleotides in length. Lineage: Bacteria; Pseudomonadati; Verrucomicrobiota. The record is from RNAcentral.
GCCUCGCUAGCUCAAUGGUAGAGCAGUUGACUCUUAAUCAAUUUGUUUCAGGUUCAAGUCCUGAGCGAGGUA